AAAGGUCCCCCUGAACUACUGGAGCCAGCUGUGCUCUUAGGUAGUGGCCUCCCUAGAUGUGAGCCAACACAGAACACAGGACAUGGAAAGACCAGGUCUGUGGAUGCAACUGUGACAAGGACUCCCUGGUCCUCCCCUGAGUCAACUACAGACAGACGGAUGCCGCAGCUCUCAGGGGGAAGCUGGACUCGCCAGAAACGCUAGAGUCCGCGAAGGCAGAAGGCCCCGCUUGAGGUGCGGUGUCCCGGCCCCACCUCCCCCUUCGCAUCCUCCGGGUGGACGUGUCCUGUUGGCCACUGGCACGUGGGGCGUCCGUGGUAACGCGCACACUGGAGCGAGCCCUCAGAUGCCAGUGACCACGCAGACAUCCCUCACGCCUUCCUGCAGGAAGACGGAGCAGGUCUGAGGGCGGUGCCUGGCCAGGCGCUCAAAGGACCUGUGCCUUUUAAACUCCCGUUCCAAGCACAGACGACCGUCACACAAGAUCAGUGGCCCCCACGUCACCGCCAAAUGCUAACGUAGCUUUGGGUUGAAAGAGAUGUGGCCCAUGACAAUGUCGACAGUCUCUAUCAAGCCCAGCACGACGGC
Hyaena hyaena (striped hyena) is the source of this 588-nucleotide long non-coding RNA. RefSeq lists it as uncharacterized. The record is from RefSeq and is a predicted model, not a curated record. The transcript is spliced from 4 exons. Lineage: Eukaryota; Metazoa; Chordata; Mammalia; Carnivora; Hyaenidae.